GGGCGGCUGGCCUAAUGGUAAGGCGUCUGAUUUCGGUUGAGUUAUCCUCGAUAACUACAUUCUCAGAAGAUUGCAGGUUCGAUCCCUGCGUCGCUCA
Molecule: transfer RNA, 97 nt
Filed under: Penicillium crustosum
Lineage: Eukaryota; Fungi; Ascomycota; Eurotiomycetes; Eurotiales; Aspergillaceae
Rfam family: tRNA
About the family: Transfer RNA (tRNA) molecules are approximately 80 nucleotides in length. Their secondary structure includes four short double-helical elements and three loops (D, anti-codon, and T loops).
Source: Rfam by way of RNAcentral